UCCUAUAGCUCAGAUGGUAAAGAAUCUGCCUGCAAUGCAGGAGACCCAGGUUCAAUCCCUGGGUCAGGAA
RNAcentral lists this transfer RNA (70 nucleotides) under Bos taurus (domestic cattle). It matches the Rfam family "tRNA". Rfam says of the family: Transfer RNA (tRNA) molecules are approximately 80 nucleotides in length. Their secondary structure includes four short double-helical elements and three loops (D, anti-codon, and T loops). Further hydrogen bonds mediate the characteristic L-shaped molecular structure. tRNAs have two regions of fundamental functional importance: the anti-codon, which is responsible for specific mRNA codon recognition, and the 3' end, to which the tRNAs corresponding amino acid is attached (by aminoacyl-tRNA synthetases). tRNAs cope with the degeneracy of the genetic code in two manners: having more than one tRNA (with a specific anti-codon) for a particular amino acid; and 'wobble' base-pairing, i.e. permitting non-standard base-pairing at the 3rd anti-codon position. RNAcentral also lists the same sequence under 2 other names. Lineage: Eukaryota; Metazoa; Chordata; Mammalia; Artiodactyla; Bovidae. The record is from Rfam by way of RNAcentral.